This 167-nucleotide ribosomal RNA is filed under the name uncultured bacterium. RNAcentral describes it as "partial 16S ribosomal RNA". It matches the Rfam family "Bacterial small subunit ribosomal RNA", at positions 1334 to 1500 of the family's 1533-position model. The record is from RNAcentral.
GCUAGUAAUCGCGGAUCAGAAUGCCGCGGUGAAUACGUUCCCGGGUCUUGUACACACCGCCCGUCACACCAUGGGAGUCGGAAAUGCUCGAAGUCUGUGACCGAACCGAAAGGAAGGAGCAGCCGAAGGCAGGUCGGAUGACUGGGGUGAAGUCGUAACAAGGUACC